AAACGGUGGCUAAUACCGCAUAACGUCGCAAGACCAAAGAGGGGGACCUUCGGGCCUCUUGCCAUCAGAUGUGCCCAGAUGGGAUUAGCUAGUUGGUGAGGUAACGGCUCACCAAGGCGACGAUCCCUAGCUGGUCUGAGAGGAUGACCAGCCACACUGGAACUGAGACACGGUCCAGACUCCUACGGGAGGCAGCAGUGGGGAAUAUUGCACAAUGGGCGCAAGCCUGAUGCAGCCAUGCCGCGUGUAUGAAGAAGGCCUUCGGGUUGUAAAGUACUUUCAGCGGGGAGGAAGGUGUUGUGGUUAAUAACCGCAGCAAUUGACGUUACCCGCAGAAGAAGCACCGGCUAACUCCGUGCCAGCAGCCGCGGUAAUACGGAGGGUGCAAGCGUUAAUCGGAAUUACUGGGCGUAAAGCGCACGCAGGCGGUCUGUCAAGUCGGAUGUGAAAUCCCCGGGCUCAACCUGGGAACUGCAUUCGAAACUGGCAGGCUUGAGUCUUGUAGAGGGGGGUAGAAUUCCAGGUGUAGCGGUGAAAUGCGUAGAGAUCUGGAGGAAUACCGGUGGCGAAGGCGGCCCCCUGGACAAAGACUGACGCUCAGGUGCGAAAGCGUGGGGAGCAAACAGGAUUAGAUACCCUGGUAGUCCACGCCGUAAACGAUGUCUACUUGGAGGUUGUGCCCUUGAGGCGUGGCUUCCGGAGCUAACGCGUUAAGUAGACCGCCUGGGGAGUACGGCCGCAAGGUUAAAACUCAAAUGAAUUGACGGGGGCCCGCACAAGCGGUGGAGCAUGUGGUUUAAUUCGAUGCAACGCGAAGAACCUUACCUGGUCUUGACAUCCACGGAAGUUUUCAGAGAUGAGAAUGUGCCUUCGGGAACCGUGAGACAGGUGCUGCAUGGCUGUCGUCAGCUCGUGUUGUGAAAUGUUGGGUUAAGUCCCGCAACGAGCGCAACCCUUAUCCUUUGUUGCCAGCGGUCCGGCCGGGAACUCAAAGGAGACUGCCAGUGAUAAACUGGAGGAAGGUGGGGAUGACGUCAAGUCAUCAUGGCCCUUACGACCAGGGCUACACACGUGCUACAAUGGCGCAUACAAAGAGAAGCGACCUCGCGAGAGCAAGCGGACCUCAUAAAGUGCGUCGUAGUCCGGAUUGGAGUCUGCAACUCGACUCCAUGAAGUCGGAAUCGCUAGUAAUCGUGGAUCAGAAUGCCACGGUGAAUACGUUCCCGGGCCUUGUACACACCGCCCGUCACACCAUGGGAGUGGGUUGCAAAAGAAGUAGGUAGCUUAACCUUCGGGAGGGCGCUUACCACUUUGUGAUUCAUGACUGGGGUGAAGUCGUAACAAGGUAACCGUAGGGGAACCUGCGGUUGGA
This 1372-nucleotide ribosomal RNA is filed under the name Salmonella enterica subsp. enterica. RNAcentral's name for it is "bacterial SSU rRNA". It matches the Rfam family "Bacterial small subunit ribosomal RNA", at positions 154 to 1522 of the family's 1533-position model. The record is from RNAcentral. Lineage: Bacteria; Pseudomonadati; Pseudomonadota; Gammaproteobacteria; Enterobacterales; Enterobacteriaceae.